RNAcentral lists this ribosomal RNA (774 nucleotides) under uncultured Neocallimastigales. RNAcentral describes it as "partial large subunit ribosomal RNA". It matches the Rfam family "Eukaryotic large subunit ribosomal RNA", at positions 24 to 631 of the family's 3401-position model. The record is from RNAcentral. Lineage: Eukaryota; Fungi; Neocallimastigomycota; Neocallimastigomycetes; Neocallimastigales.
UACGACUACAUAUCAGGCAUAUCAAUAAGCGGAGGAAAAGAAACUAACAAGGAUUCCCCUAGUAACGACGAGUGAAGCGGGAAGAGCUCAAAUUUGAAAUCUUAAAGGGUUUCCCUUUACGAAUUGUAGUUUAAAGAAGUGUUUUCUGUUGGAGUUUCGGUAAAAGUUCUUUGGAAUAGGACAUCAUAGAGGGUGAGAAUCCCGUAUUUGACCGUUACUUUCCAGCUGUGUGAUACACUUUCAAAGAGUCGGAUUGUUUGGGAAUGCAGUCCAAGAUGGGUGGUAAAUUUCAUCUAAAGCUAAAUAUUGGCGAGAGACCGAUAGCGAACAAGUACCGUGAGGGAAAGAUGAAAAGAACUUUGAAAAGAGAGUUAAACAGUACGUGAAAUUGUCAAAAGGGAAGCGUUUGACACCAGUGUUGUUUUUCCGAAAAUCAAUUACGAAUGGCGGGAUUCUAAGUUUCAUGACCUUAAAAGCUUGUUUCUUUCUUUUCCUGUCUUUCUUAAUGCACUUUUCGGUUAACAAGUCAACAUCAAUUUCUUUUGUUGUAAAAGGUUAUUUGGAAGGUGGCUUUCUUUUCGGAGAGAGUGUUUAUAGCCUUAUACCUCUACAAUCGGAGAGAUUGAGGUCUGCAGCGUAGAUCCUUCGGGGCUAGAUACACUUGUGCUAAGUUAUAGCUUUUCAUAGACAACUUGUUGACUAUGUUUAGUCAUGUAGCUUACCCGCUUGUGCUAUUUUACCUACGCUUAGGAUGUUGAUCUACAGAGCGAGAGU